AGCUUUGCGAAGUAGCAGUAUCAUAGCCAAUGAGGUUUAUCUGAGGCGCGAUUAUUGCUAAUUGAGAAUUACAUAAAUUUAAUAUAUACAAGUCACUUAGAAAUGUUAAUAGGUAGUAAACAUCAUUUGUCAGCUAUUAGGAGAG
Molecule: small nuclear RNA, 145 nt
Organism: Oryctolagus cuniculus (rabbit)
Lineage: Eukaryota; Metazoa; Chordata; Mammalia; Lagomorpha; Leporidae
Gene: U4
Rfam family: U4 spliceosomal RNA
About the family: U4 small nuclear RNA (U4 snRNA) is a component of the major U2-dependent spliceosome. The structure of U4 snRNA from yeast and human has been reported.
Source: Ensembl